Podarcis lilfordi (Lilford's wall lizard) is the source of this 402-nucleotide non-coding RNA. Lineage: Eukaryota; Metazoa; Chordata; Lepidosauria; Squamata; Lacertidae. The record is from the annotation of a GenBank genome assembly.
UGUCUACGAUUGGCAGGACGCCGGGGGAAGAGGGGCUGGAGUCUGGCUUGAAAAAGGGGGGCAGUGAUUUGUGGGGAACUGGGCCAGUCGGGAGGCAAGCGUCGGAGGCAGGGAUGCUUCAGAGCUGGAGGAAGAGGAGGAUGAGGCAGGCCAGGAAAGGGCCAGGGGCUUCCCCACCUUCUCCUGAACCUCCGUCUCCCAGAACCAGGAGGGGACUGAAGAGGGAAGGGCAGAGGGAGCUUCUGUGCAGGCGCAGUCUCUGGCUGUGAGGAGCAUAAACAGAGGGAGGGAGAGUCACCCCUGUUGUUGCAGCUGCUCAUAGAAUGCAGACCUGGGAAGAGCUGCAUCCUAGCGAGUCUUAUAUUGGGCAAGAAAGAGCUAGCUCUCUGCCAUGUGCCUUCC